CCACAGUCAACAAAACUAAUAAUAAUUCAAAGGCUAUGCCAAUAGACUGGAAUAUCAAAAGGAGCUGCCAAGCUGAAAAUACUAGAUGGAUGGAAUAUCUGCCUCUUGAAUAUGAGACUGGCUAAGUUCAGAGUACAUCAGAAGUCAACCACAGGGUUGAGAAAGCAUCCUCCUGCAACCACCAGGGCCAGUGAUCCAGUGAUUCCUAGGCCUGAGAGGAGGCAAAAAGUGCCCUUUUCUAGGGUAGGAGCCUAUCUUAUUUCAUCUGCACAGCAGCCCUAUGGGAGGAGGAGGAAAAGGAAGAAGAGGAGGAGGAAGAAGAGGAGGAGGAGGACCAAUAUUAUUACUAUUACUUUGUAG
This 360-nucleotide long non-coding RNA is filed under the name Monodelphis domestica (gray short-tailed opossum). RNAcentral describes it as "lncRNA (ENSMODG00000032078.2)". The record is from RNAcentral. Lineage: Eukaryota; Metazoa; Chordata; Mammalia; Didelphimorphia; Didelphidae.